AUGCACAUCUGGCAAGUGAGGAGAACCUGGAGGCUCACCCAGGGGAGUUUUCACGUGGGCUUCUGUCUCUGCUGGAAGGAUCAGGUUCUUUUAAUUGCUGUCUCCUGGUAUUUUCUGGAACAAACUGGGGAAGGGAUGUUGCGUCAGGGAAGCCUGUUGAUUGCUUACUCCUUAUGGACAUAUGUGAUGCUGUUAAAUGGACAUGCUGGAAUCAGUUUGUCUAGGCAGCUACCAGGACCAUCUUCUGCUUACUGUGAUCAAAAGACCCAUGGUGGCCUCUGCUCCUAUAUUCUGGCAAAUAUAUCAGCUGGGUUCUAGCCCAAACCAGCUUUCAUUGAGUAGCCUCUGCUAAAUGUAUGAUGCUUCUUAACUCUAUUAAUUUAAUUGCAUGAGGGAUAUACAUUCCUAAGUCAAUGAUUUACUCUUUAGAAUUACAGUGUGAAGAUUUAUGGUGUCUUUUGUUACUUGAAAAGGGCAUGGUGAUAUUGUGGUGUGCCUUUGUCUCCAUAUAACUGCCCGCUUUCGUAGUUUCCUCUGUUUGCAAAACUCAUAGUUUCCAGUGCCAGCCUAACCUCAGGUUCUAUGUUCAGGAAAGAAGGUGUUAGAGAUUCCCUCACUCAGGGCUUCUUCUGGCAGUUGAUCCUCAGCUGAGCUUUUGUUACCGUGCCAACAUCUGAGAGUUAUCACCCAUCUCUUCUUUUACUGCUACUGUCACCACCUCCUGGUUGACUUGUUAUUUUCCUCUUCAUUUGGUGACAUAUUAGCCCAGGUAGGAAGUGUUGCUCUCCAUCCUUUCAUAACAGAAAAGAAAGAUAAUAAUCUAUCCUUGGCUUAAGGAAGUAAAACUGUCAUAUCUGUAAAUUUAAGAAUGUUAGUGUUUUAUUCUCUGAUAGCUGUUCACAGUGGACUGAUCUUAGACUUGUUCAGCUUAACCUCUGUUUCCCUACCUCCGGAUAGGAGUGACACAUGGAGAAGUUAUGAACUUCAGUGAAUCAGGGACAUUCCAUUCAAAGGUCUUAUGUUCGGGAUCUAUUUAACUCUGAUUUUUUUCAACUUCCUGUCUGUCAUAGUAGCAUUUUGUUUUGUCUGAAAUUAGCUGUUUUUACUAUACUUAGACAUUUGUUCAAAGAAUAGGUUCUUUAUUGUCUGCAGAAUACACUCAGCACCUCAAAAUUGAGUCUCCAAGUUCAGACACAGAAUCCUACAUGUUUUACAUUUCACUGAGAUGGUACUGGAUAUUGUGUCAAAGAAAGCCUUUCUGCCUUAAACUUAUUUCUUUAAAUAAGCAUUACAAUCUGUUUUAUGAUUUAGUCAUCUC
RNAcentral lists this long non-coding RNA (1318 nucleotides) under Anser cygnoides (Swan goose). Its description in RNAcentral is "lncRNA (ENSACDG00005012779.1)". Lineage: Eukaryota; Metazoa; Chordata; Aves; Anseriformes; Anatidae. The record is from RNAcentral.